UGGGUCUGGUUAGUGGAGGCAUCAGCAGGAGACUGGAUUGGAGAGGGGAUGGGGGGAUGGGGUAUUUAUUCUCCGGAAUGAGACCCCUCCUCCUCUUCUGGCAUGCUUCCCUAUCAGCUGCUCUCUGAGCCAAAGCUUCCUGAAAGAGGCGAUUCCUUUUCUCCGGAGCUAUCCAGGAGAAGCGUGGAAGAUCUAACGGCUAAGAGCUGAGUAACCUGGAACUCAGGGAGCAUGGUCAUGGGAGCGUCACUGGGCAAGUUAAAGGAGAAAACCACCAUCCACUCCCCUCAGGGGCUGCCCCCAAAGCCUGUGCUGUUGUGUCUGGUGAGGUUUCGUCUUGGAAAAUGGGACCGGGGGUAAGGAGACAAUUGUUUCUGCUACACAUUUGGCGCUCGGGAUCGAAAAAGAGGCCAACUAACAGACGUUUGGGAACGAGCAUCCUCAAAAUUGUGAGCAAAUUGAAGUUGCGAUCUGCGGAAAGGUAAAAGAGG
Molecule: long non-coding RNA, 491 nt
Organism: Lagenorhynchus albirostris (white-beaked dolphin)
Lineage: Eukaryota; Metazoa; Chordata; Mammalia; Artiodactyla; Delphinidae
Exons: 4
Source: RefSeq, a predicted model, not a curated record